GGGCGUUUCGACAUCCUUGGAUCCCGCACUUCUCCCGCAACUGUGUCCGAUCUGAUCUGUAGUGAAAUUUUGGCAUCCUCCGUGGUCUACUGGAUGGAGCGUCCGGUGGGAGAUCGGAAGCUAUUUGAACAGCAGACAUGAAGUUCGCCGUAUUUCUCCUUGUCUUGGCAUGUGUUUGCGCUGUCGCCCUAAGCGAUCCUGGUAAAAAGAAGUGC
Molecule: long non-coding RNA, 215 nt
Organism: Haliotis rufescens (red abalone)
Lineage: Eukaryota; Metazoa; Mollusca; Gastropoda; Lepetellida; Haliotidae
Exons: 3
Source: RefSeq, a predicted model, not a curated record